RNAcentral lists this unclassified non-coding RNA (347 nucleotides) under soil metagenome. RNAcentral's name for it is "partial contains 5.8S ribosomal RNA, internal transcribed spacer 2, and large subunit ribosomal RNA". The stretch from base 5 to 119 matches the Rfam family "5.8S ribosomal RNA", at positions 40 to 154 of the family's 154-position model. The record is from RNAcentral.
GAUGAGAACGUAGCGAAAUGCGAUAAGUAGUGUGAAUUGCAGAAUUCAGUGAAUCAUCGAGUCUUUGAACGCACAUUGCGCCCCCUGGUAUUCCGGGGGGCAUGCCUGUCCGAGCGUCAUUGCUGCCCUCAAGCACGGCUUGUGUGUUGGGCCCCCGCCCCCCGGCUUCGGGGGGCGGGCCCGAAAGGCAGCGGCGGCACCGCGUCCGGUCCUCGAGCGUAUGGGGCUUCGUCACCCGCUCUGUAGGCCCGGCCGGCGCCCGCCGGCGACCCCAAUCAAUCUUUCCAGGUUGACCUCGGAUCAGGUAGGGAUACCCGCUGAACUUAAGCAUAUCAAUAAGCGGAGGA